CAUUCAGAAUGUGGCAUUUAUUGUGGAUGGAGCGUGUGUUGAGCAGGGCUGCUCUGAGGUGACGUUGCAUUGGGAGGGGUUGUGUGGACCGGGGUGUGGAAGGAGAUUGGUCAGAUUCACGUGCUGUUUGUUGUGAUGGCGUGGUGUGGGCGUGUGACAGGACCGAAUGGACGGGAUGGAGUGUGGAGACGUGGAUUGAAAUAAAAACGUACGGCCAGAGCCUCUGUGUGGAGGACGGCGUUUGCGGAGUAUUUAAUUAUCUGCGAGGAUGUCCAUGCAGUCCGGAGGCAGGCGGUUAUUAAAGGAGUGGAGAUCUGACCGGGAGUAGAGCGGCGGCAUGAUCAGGUGAAGUGGCGCUAGCACGGAGCUAGCUAAUGCUGGGGACCCGGGCAGCAGAGGCCAGGAGCCGGAUGACCGUGGAAGAAGGAGCGGUGUGAGUCCAGGUAAAGCUGCUCAGAAAAGAGUGCCCUGGACAAAGACAGAGACCCAGGCAGUUGAUAAACACAUGAGUCGAUUUAUUACUUCUUGUCUUGUGCCAGGGAAGAGCGACUGCGAGAAAUGUUUAAAGGCAGAACCAAUAGCUCUUAAACAUCGGGAUUGGCAGACCUUAAAGUUUUAUGUUCACAACCGUAUCACAGCAUACAAAAGACAAAUUCAGCGAAAAUAGGAAGGCUGUAUGAUGGACUCAAUUUUGUCCCGACUUUCCUUUUUGUUAAAAAAAUAAAUGUUGCCAAGAUUUGUGUAAAGACUCACACUUUUUAUUUUUCCUAUACUUGAAAUGUGAGAUCUAAGGAUUAUUAUUAUUAUUAUUUCAAUAUUUUGGGAAGUUUACUGGACCACAUUACCAGAAGCGACCCAGGCCUGUUGUGAACUCCUCCACUGUGGAUGCAAAAAGGGGUGCAGUGGACAGUGCAAAUGUGUCAAGGAAGCAAUUCAGUGCACUGCCCUUUGCCACUGUGGUGGACUGUUUUUUCAGAACUAACUCUGCAUUUAGUUGAAAACCUGUAAUAUUACAUAUAUAUUAUGUAACAUGUAUUACUUCACAAAAAUAAAUAUGUUAAUUAUU
This is a long non-coding RNA of Trematomus bernacchii (emerald rockcod), 1066 nucleotides long. RefSeq lists it as uncharacterized. The record is from RefSeq and is a predicted model, not a curated record. The transcript has 2 exons. NCBI's taxonomy places the organism in Eukaryota, Metazoa, Chordata, Actinopteri, Perciformes, Nototheniidae.